CCUCCUGGCUGUCGAGCUUGGAGCCCUUGCACCCCAUCGCGCGUGCGCGGGGGCGGGGCGGUCUAGCCCGGAGGGAGAAACAAAACUCAAAAAGGAUCUCUCGAGCCGAGUGUACCUACCUACUGCUGCUGCUCGCCCCGCGCAUUAUGGCGUUCGGUGAGGAGGUUGGCGGGAGGACGCCGUCGCGCGGAGCGGAGUGUGGUCGGGCGACAAUGGCGACGUGUGGACGUGAUGUGGUGGGAACAGGGAAGGGGAGUGGAGUAGGGGAGCUGAGCUGAGCUUGGCGGAGGAGGCAGAGAGNGAGGGUUGGGGGAAGGCGAGGCGGGCAGGGGAGGGCAGAGCGGAGGGGGGCAGCAGAGAAGAGAAGGAUCUUCUUUUUUAUCGUCAACACACUUUUCGUUUCUUUUGCGGGGCUUG
This 417-nucleotide long non-coding RNA is filed under the name Hordeum vulgare. RNAcentral describes it as "long non-coding RNA (HVUL_LNC005399)". The record is from RNAcentral. Lineage: Eukaryota; Viridiplantae; Streptophyta; Magnoliopsida; Poales; Poaceae.